This 497-nucleotide ribosomal RNA is filed under the name uncultured bacterium. Its description in RNAcentral is "partial 16S ribosomal RNA". It matches the Rfam family "Bacterial small subunit ribosomal RNA", at positions 28 to 507 of the family's 1533-position model. The record is from RNAcentral.
GAUGAACGCUGGCGGCGUGCCUAAUACAUGCAAGUCGAGCGAACGGACGAGAAGCUUGCUUCUCUGAUGUUAGCGGCGGACGGGUGAGUAACACGUGGAUAACCUACCUAUAAGACUGGGAUAACUUCGGGAAACCGGAGCUAAUACCGGAUAAUAUUUUGAACCGCAUGGUUCAAAAGUGAAAGACGGUCUUGCUGUCACUUAUAGAUGGAUCCGCGCUGCAUUAGCUAGUUGGUAAGGUAACGGCUUACCAAGGCAACGAUGCAUAGCCGACCUGAGAGGGUGACCGGCCACACUGGAACUGAGACACGGUCCAGCCUCCUACGGGAGGCAGCAGUAGGGAAUCUUCCGCAAUGGGCGAAAGCCUGACGGAGCAACGCCGCGUGAGUGAUGAAGGUCUCCGGAUCGUAAAACUCUGUUAUUAGGGAAGAACAUAUGUGUAAGUAACUGUGCACAUCUUGACGGUACCUAAUCAGAAAGCCACGGCUAACUACGUG